RNAcentral lists this unclassified non-coding RNA (348 nucleotides) under soil metagenome. RNAcentral's name for it is "partial contains 5.8S ribosomal RNA, internal transcribed spacer 2, and large subunit ribosomal RNA". The stretch from base 1 to 120 matches the Rfam family "5.8S ribosomal RNA", at positions 35 to 154 of the family's 154-position model. The record is from RNAcentral.
GAUGAAGAACGUAGCGAAAUGCGAUAAGUAAUGUGAAUUGCAGAAUUCAGUGAAUCAUCGAAUCUUUGAACGCACAUUGCGCCCGCCAGUAUUCUGGCGGGCAUGCCUGACUGAGCGUCAUUUCAACCCUCAUGCCCCUAGGGCGUGGUGUUGGGGAUCGGCCAAAGCCCGCGAGGGACGGCCGGCCCCUAAAUCUAGUGGCGGACCCGUCGUGGCCUCCUCUGCGAAGUAGUGAUAUUCCGCAUCGGAGAGCGACGAGCCCCUGCCGUUAAACCCCCAACUUUCCAAGGUUGACCUCAGAUCAGGUAGGAAUACCCGCUGAACUUAAGCAUAUCAAUAAGCGGAGGA